RNAcentral lists this ribosomal RNA (1086 nucleotides) under Triticum aestivum (bread wheat). Its description in RNAcentral is "partial small subunit ribosomal RNA". The record is from RNAcentral. Lineage: Eukaryota; Viridiplantae; Streptophyta; Magnoliopsida; Poales; Poaceae.
AUGGACGAAAAGGGUUCUGGGGUGAUUGGGUCCAGCCACAAUACCCAAGGAGAUCGCAGUAUUUGGAAUAAUAUCUGGAAGACAAAUGUACCCCAAAAAGUACGUAUUUUUACAUGGAGACUAGCAUCGGAGUCACUGGCGGUUCAAACUAAUAGAUUUCGUCGCAUCCCAGGCCUCACCCCGAUUUGUAAUGUAUGUGGGGCCGAGGAUGAAACAGGCUUCCAUAUGGCACAUCGAUGCACAUUUGCAAGGGCCUUGUGGCACGAACUCAAGGAGGCAUGGAACCUGCCCCCUGAGCAGGAAGUAGAAUAUACUGGAAGGGAUUGGGUCCUAAUCUUGCUAGAUAAGGUGAGUGAAGAUAUGAAACAAAAAUUUAUGCUAUUUUGGUGGCGUGUUUGGCACCAUAGAAAUGACGCGAUCUUCGCAAAAGGUAAAGCGAAAAUUUCCCACUCUGCUCGUUUUCUGCAAAACUACCUUGCAAACAUCCGCUUGAUUGCGGAGGGAACUUCUGAGAUAGAUCGAAAAGGGAAAAGUCCGAUGGUUAACUUGCCAUCAGUGCAACAACAUGAUCAUACAAAGGAAAAAGGAUGGACAAUGCCAGAGCUCGGAUGGGCUAAGGUCAAUGUUGAUGGAAGUUUUUUGGAGGAAAAUAGGAGCGGAGCCUGGGGAGCUGUGAUUCGAGAUCAUGAUGGAAGAAUUAUCUUAUCAGCUUGGGAUUAUAUACCGCGGUGCAAUGGAGCGGACUGCGCGGAAGCCAUGGCUUGCCUAGAAGGACUAAGGAUGGCAAUGUCGGCGACGAAUCUACCCUUAAUCAUCGAGACAGAUUGCAGCUCGGUGACAAAGGCGCUUAUCCUCUCGUCUAUUGAUAGAUCGGAGGUUGCAACAAUUGUAAAGGAGUUUCAAGCCAUGAAAGGGAACAGAGAAGUAAAAGUUUGCAAAGUAGAUAGAAGGGACAAUAGGUUAGCUCAUAGUCUUGCCCAGUUGGGGCGUAGAGAGUUGCGUGGUGGGGUUAUGCAAGGCUCUGUGCCAACCUGCGUGUUGAGUGAGGCCUUGCACGAUUGUACGAACUAUGUUUCUCUACUUUAA